GAUGAACGCUGGCGGCGUGCUUAACACAUGCAAGUCGAACGGAAAGGCCCUGCUUUUGUGGGUUGCUCGAUUGGCGAACGGGUGAGUAACACGCGAGUAACCUGCCCUUGACUUUGGGAUAACUUCUGGAAACUGGGGCUAAUACCGGAUAGGAGCUCCUGCUGCACGGGGGGGGUUGGAAAGUUUCGGCGGUUGGGGAUGGUCUCGCGGGUUAUCAGCUUGUUGGUGGGGUAGUGGCUUACCAAGGCUUUGACGGGUAGCCGGCCUGAGAGGGUGACCGGCCACAUUGGGACUGAGAUACGGCCCAGACUCCUACGGGAGGCAGCAGUGGGGAAUCUUGCACAAUGGGCGGAAGCCUGAUGCAGCAACGCCGCGUGCGGGAUGACGGCCUUCGGGUUGUAAACCGCUUUCGCCUGUGACGAAGCGUGAGUGACGGUAAUGGGUAAAGAAGCACCGGCUAACUACGUG
This 468-nucleotide ribosomal RNA is filed under the name uncultured bacterium. Its description in RNAcentral is "partial 16S ribosomal RNA". It matches the Rfam family "Bacterial small subunit ribosomal RNA", at positions 28 to 507 of the family's 1533-position model. The record is from RNAcentral.